GAUAGCAUUUGUGGAUUUUGCC
This 22-nucleotide small nuclear RNA is filed under the name Arabidopsis thaliana (thale cress). RNAcentral's name for it is "snRNA_06577". Lineage: Eukaryota; Viridiplantae; Streptophyta; Magnoliopsida; Brassicales; Brassicaceae. The record is from RNAcentral.